This 350-nucleotide ribosomal RNA is filed under the name Hydrovatus pustulatus. RNAcentral's name for it is "partial 12S ribosomal RNA". The record is from RNAcentral. Lineage: Eukaryota; Metazoa; Arthropoda; Insecta; Coleoptera; Dytiscidae.
UUUAUUAGUAAAGAAAUUGUUUAGGAAGUAAAAGUUAUGAUCUCUAAAUUUAAAAAUUUUGGCGGUAUAUUAGUCUAUUUAGAGGAACCUGUUCUAUAAUCGAUAUUCCACGAUUAAUUAUACUUAAUUAAGAAAUUUAUAUAUCGUCGUUUUGAAAAAUUUUAUUAGAAUAAAAAUUUUUAAUAUUUUUAAUUAAAAAGGAAUUCAGAUCAAGGUUUAGUGAAUAGUUAAGAAGAAAUGGGUUACAAUAAAUUUAUUUAAAUGAAUUAUAUAAUGAAAAAAAUAUAUAAAAGUGGAUUUAAUAGUAAUAAAAUUAAAUUAAAUUUUAUGAUUUAAGCUCUAAUAUAUGU